This 758-nucleotide ribosomal RNA is filed under the name uncultured bacterium. RNAcentral describes it as "bacterial SSU rRNA". It matches the Rfam family "Bacterial small subunit ribosomal RNA", at positions 8 to 796 of the family's 1533-position model. The record is from RNAcentral.
AGAGUUUGAUCAUGGCUCAGAAUCAACGCUGGCGGCGCGCCUAACACAUGCAAGUCGAACGAGAAAGCAGGAGCAAUCUUGUGAGUAAAGUGGCGUACGGGUGAGUAACACGUGGAUCAUCUACCCUCUAGUGGGGGAUAACCCUGGGAAACCGGGGCUAAUACCGCAUAAGCUCGAGAGAGGAAAGCAGCAAUGCGCUGGAGGAGGAGUCCGCGGCCGAUUAGCUAGUUGGUAGGGUAAAGGCCUACCAAGGCUACGAUCGGUAGCCGGCCUGAGAGGGCACACGGCCACACUGGCACUGAAACACGGGCCAGACUCCUACGGGAGGCAGCAGUGGGGAAUCUUGCACAAUGGGGGCAACCCUGAUGCAGCGACGCCGCGUGAGCGAUGAAGCCCUUCGGGGUGUAAAGCUCUUUCGGCAGGGAAGAUUAUGACGGUACCUGCAGAAGCAGCUGCGGCUAACUACGUGCCAGCAGCCGCGGUAAUACGUAGGCAGCAAGCGUUGUUCGGAGUUACUGGGCGUAAAGGGUGUGUAGGCGGUUCUCUAAGUCUGGUGUGAAAUCUCCCGGCUCAACUGGGAGGGUGCGCCGAAAACUGGAGGGCUAGAGUGCGGGAUGGGAGAGUGGAAUUCCUGGUGUAGCGGUGAAAUGCGUAGAUAUCAGGAGGAACACCUGUGGUGUAGACGGCUCUCUGGACCGCAACUGACGCUGAGACACGAAAGCGUGGGUAGCAAACAGGAUUAGAUACCCCCGUAGUCC